AGUGAACGCUGGCGGUAGGCCUAACACAUGCAAGUCGAACGGCAGCACAGUAAGAGCUUGCUCUUACAGGUGGCGAGUGGCGGACGGGUGAGGAAUACAUCGGAAUCUACUUUUUCGUGGGGGAUAACGUAGGGAAACUUACGCUAAUACCGCAUACGACCUACGGGUGAAAGCAGGGGAUCUUCGGACCUUGCGCGAUUGAAUGAGCCGAUGUCGGAUUAGCUAGUUGGCGGGGUAAAGGCCCACCAAGGCGACGAUCCGUAGCUGGUCUGAGAGGAUGAUCAGCCACACUGGAACUGAGACACGAUCCAGACUCCUACGGGAGGCAGCAGUGGGGAAUAUUGGACAAUGGGCGCAAGCCUGAUCCAGCCAUACCGCGUGGGUGAAGAAGGCCUUCGGGUUGUAAAGCCCUUUUGUUGGGAAAGAAAAGCAGCAGGUUAAUACCCCGCUGUUCUGACGGUACCCAAAGAAUAAGCACCGGCUAACUUCGUG
RNAcentral lists this ribosomal RNA (492 nucleotides) under uncultured bacterium. Its description in RNAcentral is "partial 16S ribosomal RNA". It matches the Rfam family "Bacterial small subunit ribosomal RNA", at positions 29 to 507 of the family's 1533-position model. The record is from RNAcentral.